GCUCAGGAUGAACAGGCAGCAUCUUAACACAUGCAAGUCGGACGGAAGUGGUGUUUCCAGUGGCGGACAGGUGGAGUAACAUGUAGAACCUGCCCUUGGGAGAGAACAACAGCUGGAGCAGCUGCUAAAUACCCCAUAGGCUGAGGAGCAAAAGGAGAAUCCGCCCGAGGAGGGCUCGCGUCUGAUUAGCUAGUUGGUACAGGGCAAUAAACUUACCAAGGCGAUGAUCAGUAGCUGGUCCGAGGGAUGAUCAAUACACUGGGACUGAGACACAUUGCCCCAACUCCUGCAGGGAGGCAGCAGUGGGGAAUUUUCCACCAAUGGGCAGAAAGCCUGACAGGAGCAAUGCCGCGUGGAGGGGAGAAGGCCUACAGGUCCCUGAACUUCUUUUCCCAGAGAAGAAGCAAUGACGGCAGUAUCUAGGGAAUAAGCAUCAGCUAACUCUGUGCCCCAGCCAUAGUAAUACAGAGGAUGCAAAGCGAUUAUCCAGGAAUGAUUGGGCAUAAAGCGUCUGUGGUGGCUUUUAAGUCCGCCAUCAAAUCCAGGAGCUCAACCCUGGACAGGCGGUGGGAACUACCAAAGCUUGAGUACAGUAGGGGAGGAGAGGAAUUUCCGGUGGGCGGUGAAAUGCGUAGAGAUCAGGAAAGAACACCAGCAGCAGAAAGCACUCUGCUGGAGCCGACACUGGCACUGAGGGGACAGAAAGCUAGGGGCAGAUGGGAUUAAGAUACCCCAGUAGUCCCUAGCCAUCAACAGUGGAUACUAGGCGCUGUGCGUAUCGACCCGUGCAGUGCUGCUGUAGCUAAUUAAAUUAUCCCGCCUAGGAGUACGUUCAUAAAGAAUGAAACUCAAAGGAAUUGACAGGGGGCCCACACAAGGCAGUGGAGCAUGUGGUUUAAUUCGAUGCAAAGCAAAAGAACCUUACCAGAACUUGACAUGCCGCAGAUCCUCUUGAAGAGAGGGUGCCUUCAGGGAACAUUGGACACAGGUGGUGCAUGGCUGUCAUCAGCUCGUGCCAUGGGUGUUGGGUUAAGUCCCGCAACAGGCACAACCCUCGUGUUUAGUUUCCCACCGUUGGGUUUGGAACCCUGAACAGACUGCCGGUGAUAGAAGCCGGAGGAAGGUGAGGAUGACGUCAAAGUCAUCAUGCCCCAUAUGCCCUGGGCGACACACGUGCUACAAUGGCCCAGGACAAGGGUCGCGAUCCCGAGGGUGAGGCUAACUCAAAAACCCGUCCUCAGUUCGGAUUGCAGGCUGCAACUCCCUGCAUGAAGCCAGGAAUCGCUAGUAAUCCUUGAGUCAAUCAGCCAGCGGGAAUUCAUUCCCAGGCCUUGUACACCGCCCGUCACACUAUGGGAGCUGGCUGGCCGAGUCGUUACCUUAACCACAAGGGAGGGUGCCGAGGCAGGGCUAGUGACUGGAGUGAAGUCAUAACAAGGUAGCCGUACUGGAAGGUGCGGCUG
Molecule: ribosomal RNA, 1463 nt
Filed under: Brassica oleracea (wild cabbage)
Lineage: Eukaryota; Viridiplantae; Streptophyta; Magnoliopsida; Brassicales; Brassicaceae
Description: bacterial SSU rRNA
Rfam family: Bacterial small subunit ribosomal RNA
Source: RNAcentral